RNAcentral lists this transfer RNA (73 nucleotides) under Myxococcota bacterium. Its description in RNAcentral is "tRNA-Asn". It matches the Rfam family "tRNA". From Rfam's summary of the family: Transfer RNA (tRNA) molecules are approximately 80 nucleotides in length. Their secondary structure includes four short double-helical elements and three loops (D, anti-codon, and T loops). Further hydrogen bonds mediate the characteristic L-shaped molecular structure. tRNAs have two regions of fundamental functional importance: the anti-codon, which is responsible for specific mRNA codon recognition, and the 3' end, to which the tRNAs corresponding amino acid is attached (by aminoacyl-tRNA synthetases). tRNAs cope with the degeneracy of the genetic code in two manners: having more than one tRNA (with a specific anti-codon) for a particular amino acid; and 'wobble' base-pairing, i.e. permitting non-standard base-pairing at the 3rd anti-codon position. The record is from RNAcentral. Lineage: Bacteria; Pseudomonadati; Myxococcota.
GGGAUCGUAGCUCACAGGUAGAGCGGUCGGACUGUUAACCCGACUGGUGUUGGUUCGAGUCCAACCGAUCCCG